This 104-nucleotide transfer RNA is filed under the name Armillaria gallica. It matches the Rfam family "tRNA". Rfam says of the family: Transfer RNA (tRNA) molecules are approximately 80 nucleotides in length. Their secondary structure includes four short double-helical elements and three loops (D, anti-codon, and T loops). Further hydrogen bonds mediate the characteristic L-shaped molecular structure. tRNAs have two regions of fundamental functional importance: the anti-codon, which is responsible for specific mRNA codon recognition, and the 3' end, to which the tRNAs corresponding amino acid is attached (by aminoacyl-tRNA synthetases). tRNAs cope with the degeneracy of the genetic code in two manners: having more than one tRNA (with a specific anti-codon) for a particular amino acid; and 'wobble' base-pairing, i.e. permitting non-standard base-pairing at the 3rd anti-codon position. The record is from Rfam by way of RNAcentral. Lineage: Eukaryota; Fungi; Basidiomycota; Agaricomycetes; Agaricales; Physalacriaceae.
CCCCUCUUAACUCAGUUGGUAGAGCGUGUCACUAGUAUUGUAUAGUACUCAUACCAGAGACUUUUCCAAUGACGAGGUCAGUCGUUCAAGUCGGCUAGAGGGAA